UGUUGAACGAAUGUUCAGCAUGACUUCAUAGUCUUUAUCAUGAAGGAUGUGAAAUAGCAUGUAUGCAUGCUGUAGAUGUAUUUUGGAUGAUAUUCCUUCCUGCAAUUCACAUGAUGUCACUGAUGUGACUUUUAAAAGGAAAUGUAUUUUCCUUUUCAUGUGAUUUCUACAGUUCGUUUCAGAUAACUUAAAUUUACCUUGGCACAAGGAAAUCUUUGCUUUGCUAGAUAAUAGUUUAUCACUAUGCAUAUAUUGCAUUCACAAGCCGUCUUAAGUCUACCGUUUAUUCUGUACAUUUAUCCUGUUGGAUACUGGAAAUAAUGCAGAGCUACUUUCAGGUAACAGACUGGAUUUGAGCCCAGCAGUACCAUGAGAACAGCCAAUAAGAAUCCAUUAUAAAUCUACUUAAUGCAAUUCCAGAUAACUAGUAGAAUUGCCCUGGCCACAAUUAGAUGUUUCUUUGGCUUACUGAUACAGCUUCAACAGCGUUACCGUUUCUCUUUCUGCUGUGCCUUAUUUUCUCCACUCCUUUAUAAUCGCCCAAAGAGACCUGGGAGGAUUUUUAAUGUGCUCAAAACAAAGCUGUCGUCUCCCCUCUUCCCACUGCUUCAGAUAACAUGGUCAAGAUCAGACAUAUUCAAACCCCAAAUUUUUUUCUCCAGAUUUAAUCUACAGUGAAUGAGAAGUCAGAAAGUCUUUUAAGACAUUAUACCCGACUCUCUUUUCUUCCCCCGAUCAUCUCAGACAUGAUUAGUAAUUAGAAUUCUCCAGACUGGUUUUAUUUCUUGGAUAUCUAUAAAGUACACUGGAUUGUAUGUCUUGUCUCAGUGGUGCUACAGACAGAAGGGCACAGAGCUAGUGCUAUCCACAUGUACUAUAUUCACACAUACUCCAGUGGCAGACAUAUUCCAUGCAUUGCCUGGUCAGUUUUAUGAUAAAUCACCUGGACCCCAUUUGAUAUACAGACUGUGAUGAUGUAAUGGAGUCUGUAAAAUUUUAGGGCUGCUGCCUAAAGGACACUGAAAACACCAGUUAGCAUAUAUUAUACAGAAAAUAAAGUACUAGUGGCAAAAAGACAAAUUAUAUAUAUAUAUACACACACACACAGAGAGAGAGAGAGUACUGUGCAGAGUCUAUGAGAGGCACAUGUAAAGAAAUUAUGUGAAGCAAAGAUGCUUGUAGAAAUAAUAGAAAUUGUUAUUACAUUAAAAACUAUUAAUUUUAUACAUAAAAAUAAAGUCAAUAUUUGAUAUGGCAACCCUUUACCUUUAAAAAAAAAUCUGAGACAUUUUUCUAAGCAUCUUGAACAACCUG
Long non-coding RNA from Ictalurus punctatus (channel catfish), 1314 nucleotides. NCBI's taxonomy places the organism in Eukaryota, Metazoa, Chordata, Actinopteri, Siluriformes, Ictaluridae. The record is from Ensembl.